Non-coding RNA from Podarcis lilfordi (Lilford's wall lizard), 83 nucleotides. The record is from the annotation of a GenBank genome assembly. NCBI's taxonomy places the organism in Eukaryota, Metazoa, Chordata, Lepidosauria, Squamata, Lacertidae.
GCUGGGGACGGGCCACAGCUCAGCGACAGAGCAUCUGCCUUGCACGCAGAAGGUCUCUGGUUCAGUCCCUGGCAUCCCCAGUU